Molecule: ribosomal RNA, 495 nt
Filed under: uncultured bacterium
Lineage: Bacteria
Description: partial 16S ribosomal RNA
Rfam family: Bacterial small subunit ribosomal RNA
Source: RNAcentral
GACGAACGCUGGCGGCGUGCCUAAUACAUGCAAGUAGAACGCUGAAGGAGGAGCUUGCUUCUCUGGAUGAGUUGCGAACGGGUGAGUAACGCGUAGGUAACCUGCCUGGUAGCGGGGGAUAACUAUUGGAAACGAUAGCUAAUACCGCAUAAUAGUAGAUGUUGCAUGACAUUUGCUUAAAAGGUGCAAUUGCAUCACUACCAGAUGGACCUGCGUUGUAUUAGCUAGUUGGUGGGGUAACGGCUCACCAAGGCGACGAUACAUAGCCGACCUGGGAGGGUGAUCGGCCACACUGGGACUGAGACACGGCCCAGACUCCUACGGGAGGCAGCAGUAGGGAAUCUUCGGCAAUGGACGGAAGUCUGACCGAGCAACGCCGCGUGAGUGAAGAAGGUUUUCGGAUCGUAAAGCUCUGUUGUAAGAGAAGAACGAGUGUGAGAGUGGAAAGUUCACACUGUGACGGUAUCUUAACAGAAAGGGACGGCUAACUACGUG